UUCUUAAUAAUUUAUUAAAAAUAUCUACUUUGGAUGUAGAAGAAUCUUAUAUAAGUUU
Molecule: transfer RNA, 58 nt
Filed under: Ebrechtella tricuspidata
Lineage: Eukaryota; Metazoa; Arthropoda; Arachnida; Araneae; Thomisidae
Description: tRNA-Pro
Source: RNAcentral